Triticum dicoccoides is the source of this 525-nucleotide long non-coding RNA. RefSeq lists it as uncharacterized. The record is from RefSeq and is a predicted model, not a curated record. The transcript is spliced from 3 exons. Lineage: Eukaryota; Viridiplantae; Streptophyta; Magnoliopsida; Poales; Poaceae.
CGGCGGGCAAGGGGUGUCAACUGCCCACGCCCAGGCUUCUCGUCCGACCGGAGUUCGGGAUACGCCUGGCUCUUAUCCGUUCACACAAGGGCGUGGAAGGGAGGUACGAGGUCCUGGCAGCGCAGCAUCGCCUGAUGAAGCUCGACGACUAUGGUAGAUUCAGACUGGUCCAGGCUUCCAAAUUUGUCGAGGCGAAACCCAACGACCCUACCUGGUUAUACUGUCAAAGGAUUAGAAGAUUUGAAGCCUGCCUCGACUUCAAGUUCUCACUUUUUUCCAUGGCUUCCUUCCCGCUCGUUUACUGGUGCUGUCACGACAAGGACAACAAGACAGUCGCUUAGUGAUUCAUCACCCGAGACCCAGUAUCAAAAACUUUGGACAAUGUGCGGACAGUGAUUUAUGUCUCAAAGUAUUGGACCUUAUGCCAGCUUAAUUAUGUUGUGAGCUGAGCACUAUCGUAGUCGUACCUGUUUUGUGCUAGCUAUUUCGACCUUAUGCCAGCUUAAUUAUGUGGUGAUCUCACGA